GCUUGCUCUUAUGAAGUUAGCGGCGGACGGGUGAGUAACACGUGGGUAACCUGCCCAUAAGACUGGGAUAACUCCGGGAAACCGGGGCUAAUACCGGAUAACAUUUUGAACUGCAUGGUUCGAAAUUGAAAGGCGGCUUCGGCUGUCACUUAUGGAUGGACCCGCGUCGCAUUAGCUAGUUGGUGAGGUAACGGCUCACCAAGGCAACGAUGCGUAGCCGACCUGAGAGGGUGAUCGGCCACACUGGGACUGAGACACGGCCCAGACUCCUACGGGAGGCAGCAGUAGGGAAUCUUCCGCAAUGGACGAAAGUCUGACGGAGCAACGCCGCGUGAGUGAUGAAGGCUUUCGGGUCGUAAAACUCUGUUGUUAGGGAAGAACAAGUGCUAGUUGAAUAAGCUGGCACCUUGACGGUACCUAACCAGAAAGCCACGGCUAACUACGUGCCAGCAGCCGCGGUAAUACGUAGGUGGCAAGCGUUAUCCGGAAUUAUUGGGCGUAAAGCGCGCGCAGGUGGUUUCUUAAGUCUGAUGUGAAAGCCCACGGCUCAACCGUGGAGGGUCAUUGGAAACUGGGAGACUUGAGUGCAGAAGAGGAAAGUGGAAUUCCAUGUGUAGCGG
RNAcentral lists this ribosomal RNA (620 nucleotides) under bacterium. RNAcentral describes it as "bacterial SSU rRNA". It matches the Rfam family "Bacterial small subunit ribosomal RNA", at positions 78 to 681 of the family's 1533-position model. RNAcentral also lists the same sequence under 1 other name. The record is from RNAcentral.